CCUGACUGCUAUCGGAUUGAUACUAAGCCAUGCGAGUCAUUGUAGCAAUACAAGGCAGACGGCUCAGUAACGCGUAGUCAACCUACCCUAUGGACGGGAAUAACCUCGGGAAACUGAGUAUAAUGCCCGAUAGAACACUAUACCUGGAAUGGUUUGUGUUUCAAAUGAUUUAUUGCCGUAGGAUGGGACUGCGGCCUAUCAGUUUGUUGGUGAGGUAAUGGCCCACCAAGACUAUUACAGGUACGGGCUCUGAGAGGAGUGGCCCGGAGAUGGGUACUGAGACACGGACCCAGGCCCUAUGGGGCGCAGCAGGCGAGAAAACUUUGCAAUGUGCGAAAGCACGACAAGGUUAAUCCGAGUGGUUUCUGCUAAAGGAACCUUUUGACAGUCCUAGAAACACUGUUGAAUAAGGGGUGGGCAAGUUCUGGUGUCAGCCGCCGCGGUAAAACCAGCACCUCAAGUGGUCAGGAUGAUUAUUGGGCCUAAAGCAUCCGUAGCCGGCUCAGUAAGUUUUCGGUUAAAUCUGUACGCUCAACGUACAGGCUGCCGGGAAUACUGCAGAGCUAGGGAGUGGGAGAGGUAGACGGUACUCGGGAGGAAGUGGUAAAAUGCUUUGAUCUUUCGAUGACCACCUGUGGCGAAGGCGGUCUACCAGAACACGUCCGACGGUGAGGGAUGAAAGCUGGGGGAGCAAACCGGAUUAGAUACCCGGGUAGUCCCAGCUGUAAACUAUGCAAACUCAGUGAUGCAUUGGCUUGUGGCCAAUGCAGUGUUGCAGGGAAGCCGUUAAGUUUGCCGCCUGGGAAGUACGUACGCAAGUAUGAAACUUAAAGGAAUUGGCGGGGGAGCACCCACAAGGGGUGAAGCCUGCGGUUC
RNAcentral lists this ribosomal RNA (876 nucleotides) under uncultured archaeon. Its description in RNAcentral is "bacterial SSU rRNA". It matches the Rfam family "Archaeal small subunit ribosomal RNA", at positions 21 to 903 of the family's 1478-position model. The record is from RNAcentral.